AACACCGCUUCCCAGAUCUUUCGGAUUGGAAGCCUUGAUGAAAACUUCGGGAAAAGUUGUAGAGCUGGCAAGUGAAAUGAUCUCGUGGUGUCAAUCUGGGGAAUUAACUCCACAGGAUACAGGACUUGUGAAGAAGAAAUAUGAUUUCUCUCACUACGUAGGACUGACCAGAACCUCCUUCCUUACCUGCUGGUUCAUGGGGAUCAGGGCCACCACGUGACCAGCUGUCUGUCUCCACUGUCACACCAGAAGAGCAGCAUUUGUCACACAGUGGAAGUGCCUCUCUAUUAUGGAAAUGGAUGUCCACACUGCAAGAGCUCUCGGAUCUGGGACAGCAGGCCGUCCUUUGGAAGGUGGCUACGAGGGCACUCCUAGGAGCAUACAUAUGCUCUGUGCUGCUGAGAGUUGAGGGGUAGACACAGACCAAGUUGUGUGUCAGAGUUAAUGGAAGGCAGCAUCAGAAUAGGAAGCCAUGCUAAUGACAGACUGAAGUGAGUAACGACCCGGAGUCCACGAGCUGCCCGGAGUUGGGGUAGGGCCAGCCUCUCACCCUCAUCCUUAAGCCGUGUCUGCCCCAUGAGUACAGAGGGGUCAGUGCCACACAGAACAAGGCGCCAUGAAUAGGGGCAUGUGCCCCUCAAAUCCAUGUGUUGAAACCCCAGCCCAUGUGACUGUCAUAAGAGGUAGAGCUUUGGAAGGUGCAUGGCAUAUUACUUAGUUAUUUCAU
Molecule: long non-coding RNA, 727 nt
Filed under: Mus pahari (shrew mouse)
Lineage: Eukaryota; Metazoa; Chordata; Mammalia; Rodentia; Muridae
Description: predicted gene 28865 (MGP_PahariEiJ_G0004511.1)
Source: RNAcentral